UAAUAAGAGGAACCGAAGCUAAGGAGAAA
RNAcentral lists this non-coding RNA (29 nucleotides) under Rattus norvegicus (Norway rat). The record is from RNAcentral. Lineage: Eukaryota; Metazoa; Chordata; Mammalia; Rodentia; Muridae.